RNAcentral lists this ribosomal RNA (734 nucleotides) under uncultured Fusobacterium sp. RNAcentral describes it as "bacterial SSU rRNA". It matches the Rfam family "Bacterial small subunit ribosomal RNA", at positions 28 to 776 of the family's 1533-position model. The record is from RNAcentral. Lineage: Bacteria; Fusobacteriati; Fusobacteriota; Fusobacteriia; Fusobacteriales; Fusobacteriaceae.
GAUGAACGCUGACAGAAUGCUUAACACAUGCAAGUCAACUUGAAUUUGGGUUUUUAACUUAGAUUUGGGUGGCGGACGGGUGAGUAACGCGUAAAGAACUUGCCUCACAGCUAGGGACAACAUUUAGAAAUGAAUGCUAAUACCUGAUAUUAUGAUUUUAAGGCAUCUUAGAAUUAUGAAAGCUAUAAGCACUGUGAGAGAGCUUUGCGUCCCAUUAGUUAGUUGGAGAGGUAACAGCUCACCAAGGCGAUGAUGGGUAGCCGGCCUGAGAGGGUGAACGGCCACAAGGGGACUGAGACACGGCCCUUACUCCUACGGGGGCAGCAGUGGGGAAUAUUGGACAAUGGACCGAGAGUCUGAUCCAGCAAUUCUGUGUGCACGAUGAAGUUUUUCGGAAUGUAAAGUGCUUUCAGUUGGGAAGAAAGAAAUGACGGUACCAACAGAAGAAGUGACGGCUAAAUACGUGCCAGCAGCCGCGGUAAUACGUAUGUCACGAGCGUUAUCCGGAUUUAUUGGGCGUAAAGCGCGUCUAGGUGGUUAUGUAAGUCUGAUGUGAAAAUGCAGGGCUCAACUCUGUAUUGCGUUGGAAACUGUGUAACUAGAGUACUGGAGAGGUAAGCGGAACUACAAGUGUAGAGGUGAAAUUCGUAGAUAUUUGUAGGAAUGCCGAUGGGGAAGCCAGCUUACUGGACAGAUACUGACGCUAAAGCGCGAAAGCGUGGGUAGCAAACAGG